CAGCCGCCACGGUAAUACGGAGGGUGCAAGCGUUAAUCGGAAUUACUGGGCGUAAAGCGCACGCAGGCGGUCUGUCAAGUCAGAUGUGAAAUCCCCGGGCUUAACCUGGGAACUGCAUUUGAAACUGGCAGGCUAGAGUCUUGUAGAGGGGGGUAGAAUUCCAGGUGUAGCGGUGAAAUGCGUAGAGAUCUGGAGGAAUACCGGUGGCGAAGGCGGCCCCCUGGACAAAGACUGACGCUCAGGUGCGAAAGCGUGGGGAGCAAACAGGAUUAGAUACCCGGGUAGUCCCUGUCUCUUAUAC
Molecule: ribosomal RNA, 301 nt
Filed under: uncultured bacterium
Lineage: Bacteria
Description: partial 16S ribosomal RNA
Rfam family: Bacterial small subunit ribosomal RNA
Source: RNAcentral